CCUACGGGUGGCAGCAGUAGGGAAUAUUGCUCAAUGGGGGAAACCCUGAUGCAGCAACGCCGCGUGGAGGAUGAAGUUUUUAGGAUUAUAAACUCCUUUUGUUAGGGAAGAUUAUGACGGUAUCUAACGAAUAAGCCCCGGCUAACUCCGUGCCAGCAGCCGCGGUAAUACGGAGGGUGCAAGCGUUACUCGGAAUCACUGGGCGUAAAGAGUGCGUAGGCGGGGUAAUAAGUCAGAUGUGAAAUGCUGUAGCUUAACUACAGAACUGCAUUUGAAACUGUUACUCUGGAGUGCGGGAGAGGUAGGUGGAAUUCUUGGUGUAGGGGUAAAAUCCGUAGAGAUUAAGAGGAACACUGAUGGCGAAGGCGACCUGCUGGAACAUUACUGACGCUGAUGCACGAAAGCGUGGGGAGCAAACAGGAUUAGAUACCCGGGUAGUC
Molecule: ribosomal RNA, 440 nt
Filed under: uncultured bacterium
Lineage: Bacteria
Description: partial 16S ribosomal RNA
Rfam family: Bacterial small subunit ribosomal RNA
Source: RNAcentral